AUAACAAUACAGUACUCUUUAGAGGCCCUGUAAUUGGAAUGAGUCCACCUGAAAUCCUUUAACGAGGAUCUAUUGGAGGGAAACUCCACUAUCGCCUGCUGCUGCUCGCACAGUCUCUCCAG
Molecule: non-coding RNA, 122 nt
Organism: Pelobates cultripes (western spadefoot toad)
Lineage: Eukaryota; Metazoa; Chordata; Amphibia; Anura; Pelobatidae
Source: the annotation of a GenBank genome assembly